RNAcentral lists this transfer RNA (58 nucleotides) under Listeria monocytogenes. RNAcentral's name for it is "tRNA-Ala". It matches the Rfam family "tRNA", at positions 8 to 63 of the family's 71-position model. From Rfam's summary of the family: Transfer RNA (tRNA) molecules are approximately 80 nucleotides in length. The record is from RNAcentral. Lineage: Bacteria; Bacillati; Bacillota; Bacilli; Caryophanales; Listeriaceae.
UAGCUCAGCUGGGAGAGCGCCUGCUUUGCACGCAGGAGGUCAGCGGUUCGAUCCCGCA